CAAUUAAAAAUACAAAGUACGGGCUGG
RNAcentral lists this non-coding RNA (27 nucleotides) under Mus musculus (house mouse). Lineage: Eukaryota; Metazoa; Chordata; Mammalia; Rodentia; Muridae. The record is from RNAcentral.